RNAcentral lists this ribosomal RNA (617 nucleotides) under uncultured fungus. Its description in RNAcentral is "eukaryotic LSU rRNA". It matches the Rfam family "Eukaryotic large subunit ribosomal RNA", at positions 23 to 664 of the family's 3401-position model. Lineage: Eukaryota; Fungi. The record is from RNAcentral.
ACCCGCUGAACUUAAGCAUAUCAAUAAGCGGAGGAAAAGAAACCAACAGGGAUUGCCCUAGUAACGGCGAGUGAAGCGGCAUCAGCUCAAAUUUGAAAUCUGGCCUUGGCCCGAGUUGUAAUUUGUAGAGGAUAGUUCGGUGAUGCCUCGACCCAAGUCUCCUGGAACGGAGUGCCUUGGAGGGUGAGAGCCCCGUAUACGGUCGGUCGGCAGAGCCAUGUGAACUUCCUUCGAAGAGUCGAGUUGUUUGGGAAUGCAGCUCAAAAUUGGUGGUAAAUUCCAUCUAAAGCUAAAUAUUGGCCAGAGACCGAUAGCGCACAAGUAGAGUGAUCGAAAGAUGAAAAGCACUUUGGAAAGAGAGUGAAACAGUACGUGAAAUUGUUGAAAGGGAAGCGCUUGCAAUCAGACUUGCAUUUAGGAGUUCCGCCGGUCAUUGACCGGUUCACUCUUCUAUAUUCAGGCCAGCAUCGAUUCAGUCGGUUGGAUAAAGGUUUUGGGAAUGUGACUUCUUUCGGGAAGUGUUAUAGCCCUUUACACAAUACAGCCAGAUCGGAUCGAGGACCGCGUUCGCUAGGAUGCUGGCGUAAUGGUUGUAAGCGGCCCGUCUUGAAACACGG